CCCUUUGAUACUCUGGGCGGCACGCGCGCUACACUGGUUUAUAUAACGUGUAAUUUGGACGAUAGUCUGUAUAAAUAACUAAUAUAAAACCGUGAAUGGGAUAGUUUAUUGCAACUUACAAACUUUAACUAGGAAUCCCUUGUAGAAGUAGUGAAUUAUACUGCUUCGAAUACGUCCCUGCCGAUUGUACACACCGCCCGUCGUUUCUUCCGACUGGUACUCAUUGUGAAUUGCGAGGAGAUUCUGUCAAAUCGUUGUAAAUGCUGGGUAUUGGAGGAAGAAAAAGUCGUAACA
Molecule: ribosomal RNA, 294 nt
Filed under: uncultured eukaryote
Lineage: Eukaryota
Description: partial 18S ribosomal RNA
Rfam family: Eukaryotic small subunit ribosomal RNA
Source: RNAcentral